Long non-coding RNA from Cygnus olor (mute swan), 2046 nucleotides. RefSeq lists it as uncharacterized. The record is from RefSeq and is a predicted model, not a curated record. The transcript has 4 exons. NCBI's taxonomy places the organism in Eukaryota, Metazoa, Chordata, Aves, Anseriformes, Anatidae.
CUUUGAACUGAAAUGGGUUUGAGUCUUCUUGGCAUGGUUUAAUAGAUAAUUCUUGCUAAACAGCUGUAAUUCCCUGUCCCUAACAGCAACACAGCUGGGGUUUACCGCAGAUGAGGUGCCACAUUGUACUUGUAGGUGCCACAUUGUACAUCCUGCCUCAUUGCAAAAGAAAGGGAGUCCUAAAAUCAGCUUAAUUGGGCUUGGGGAAUUGGAACAGCAUUGUAAGUCAGUGGGGAGGUAGAGUCAUGGGGUUCAUGGGACUGGGUUAGAGGGUAGCAGGGCCAAGGAUGGAGAAGGUUAGGGGUCAAGGGACUAGCCUCUUUAUUCGGACUGGUGGAGGAAAGUUUUAGGAGGCUAGGGAGGUUUACAGCUUUCCGCCACAUGCUGAUUUUGGUACUUGGAUUGUAGGGUUAGGAGAAAGAGACUGAAUUUCCUCAUUGCCAGCUCUGGCAGCACUCCUCAAGCCUUUCUGGAACCAUCUUAAACUUUUGUUAAUCUGUCUCUUACACACAUCUCCCCAGGGCACCUUUGCUUGGUCUUGCUGUUCUGGUGCCUGUCUCCUCUGCCUGCCACCCCCAUUUCCCUCCAUCCCUAGUGCCCCUUGGUCUGGGCCUGCAGGGCUCCUUUGGAGUAGUUGUAAGGGAGCAGAAAGAGAUAAAAGAGACAGUUGUAGAGAGUCCUGUCUUUGCCUGUCCUUGGGAUGCUACCAAGAUCACUGUCUCCUCUGCCUCUGGUACCCUGGUUAUCUUUGGGUCUUGGUUGCUGUGACAACCGGCUGCGGCUGUAUCCUGUUCAUUGACAUCACACACUGUCAGAAUUUGAUCGCCACAGCAACACAGUGCCCUUUCUAAACAUAGCUCCUCUGUUUAUACCAGUGCUGGGCACAACAGGGAGGGACCGGGCAGGGGCAGAGUGGGGGUGAUGCAAGGGGAAUAACCUCUAGCUGCUUAUUUUCUGGAAAAGAUGUGACAGAGCGCACAGCCCGUAAUUCACAGAAGAGACUCACUCAGGUCACUAUAUUUCAAGGAUGCAGGUGCCCUCCAUGCCGUGGCUCAUGGUAACGACUGGUGCAUAUAUCAUCAGUCCUCUUUGGAAGUGACUUAAACACAUGGGUGAUCCACAAGGCAAUUGUAUGGACAGGAAAGGAUCAUGGUCUGGGUGACAGCUUCUUCCCAGCUGCACUUUCAGAGAGCUACAGCCACAGGGGCUGGAGUUACAUAGACUGUCUGGGGUAAACCUUCUCAACCCUUGACUCCAGCCAGGCCUUCUUAUGCCUCACAUUCCAGCAGCUCCAUUGGAUUUCUCCUGAAGCCAGCACAUAUUUUUCAGAAGGUCAGCUGAGCUGACGUAGCCUGCUUGGAGCCUGAACUCCUAGGACAAAGCACUGUCACUCAGCUGUGUCCCAGAUACAGGACAGCAUAGGAAAUGGCUGGCAUGACACUGCACAUUAGAGGUGCAUGGUGCAGGAGUCAACGUGGUCGGUCUGUGCUAGUUGUAGCAGGGGACAACAAAAAGAGGAACUACAGCAAUUUCUGAAUACGAGGGAAGUACCCAAUAAGCCUGAAAAAAAAAAAAAAAGGAUUGAUUUAAAUAAAGAAUAAUAAGUAGGGGAUUUGCAUCACCAUUGGCUUCAUUGAUGUGCUGCUUUUGCAUCUUGCAUUUGACGCGAUUAACCAGGUUCCUCAGUAAUUAAUAAUUUGGAAAAUGGCAAUGACCUCUUCAAGGAAAAAUGAGGUCCAGAGGUGACCUCAGAGAUGAUGAUCGUGGCCAUUCUUCCACAGAGGAAGGGAUUAGGGCCAAACUCGGAUAACGGUGAUGGGGGACACCGCAUAUGAUCCGUCUGUCCUGCACCUCUUCUGCAUGUGUCAGGACAGCACGGCCCCACUCAAAAUGAAGUCAGUCCCCAUGCAGGGCAACAUGCAACAAGUCCAAGCCCAGAACUGGAGUCAAGGAUUAGGUCUGGGCUUUUUAUAGUACUCUUGGGUGUCAUGUUCUUUAUUUGCCUCAAAUUGAGAACCCAACCUUGUCAUUAGCCAGGACAUCCUA